AAAUUCAUUUAUUCAUAUUCAUAUAUCAUUUAUAUUCAUUUAUUCAUAAUAAUGAAUAAAUGAAUAUAAUAAUUCAAAUGAAGUUUGUGUCUGAUUUAUUAGAUAUGAGUCACAAUACAAAAUGCAGUCACAGUGAAAAAUUUUUAAAAAUGCUGAUUUAGCCCAUAAAGUUCCUUAUAUGGAAAAGGGGUCAUCCGAUUCAGGCGGGACUUAAACCAAUUCAACUAAUGCAAUCAAUAUUGGAUCUCGCAUUUCAAUUGAGCAAAAGAAAAUCCAGACUUAAGGUCUUAUUAUUUCUGGAAAUUGUAUGCAUGGGAUCCAGCCUCCCAACAAUUAAAGUUUAAAGUAAUUGCUGAAAUGCUAGUUUCUGAUUACCAGAAGACUAGAUCUUAUACAUAAACAAAUGGCAGCAAAACAACGAAAUGCACGAAUGGCAGCAAAACAAAAUUUUGGCUAUAACUAAAUCUGUGAGUGAAGUGAAAUGGUCUUUACUUAAUGAACUGAUAACGACCUCUUCGAAAACUAUGUAUGAAUGAGUACUAGGGAUUGUCUUUUUCCCGGAUUUUUGGUAAUCCUGGGAUUCCGGAAUAAAAAAUGUUCUCUUCCCGGAAUCCUGGGAUUUCCCAAGACUUUUGUAAAUGGAAUUAAAAUUGAAUAUUUCAAAGCAUUUUAUAUAUAUAUAUCACUCGUUUUAAUUUGUGAUUCGAACUCGUUUCAAUUUGUGAUAUAUAUAUUAUAAAUUGAAACGAGUUAAAAACUUUUCAGAAAAUUAAUAUUUUCUUUUUAAACCAUGACAGACUAUUGAGUAUUGAGUAGUGACUACAUUGUUUAAAAAAUGUAUUUAACUUUAGUUUAUUUUGAGACUGAUUUGGCAGUUGACAUGUAAUAUGAGUGUAAGAAUCACAGGCAAUUGAUACUUUAUUACUGAGUCUAGUUCUAAGUUUGGUUAUAAAUAAUACUCCCUCAGCCGAAAAGGACUUUUCAGUUUCUACAGUUGUUGCAUUUGAGAAUGUCCAUUAAUUUUAUUACAUUUGUUGUUUUUUUUUACCAGUUGCCACCAAGAUUUCGAACUUUUUGGAUAUAUUCAUUGCAAGUGAUUGACCUUCAGCUUCAUUCUGAGGGUUUUUUAAAAAUAUAUUCAGUUUGUUUUUUGAUUUGACGCGUCAAUUUCUCACAGUCUGCUCACUUUGCUGUAUUUCGGUCUCACAAGGGGUGCUUCCGAACCGUGUAGGGGCGAAAAUGAACCAAACUUUGUGGAUGAAG
This 1263-nucleotide long non-coding RNA is filed under the name Androctonus crassicauda. Lineage: Eukaryota; Metazoa; Arthropoda; Arachnida; Scorpiones; Buthidae. The record is from RNAcentral.